Gallus gallus (chicken) is the source of this 2567-nucleotide long non-coding RNA. RefSeq lists it as uncharacterized. The record is from RefSeq and is a predicted model, not a curated record. NCBI's taxonomy places the organism in Eukaryota, Metazoa, Chordata, Aves, Galliformes, Phasianidae. The transcript is spliced from 3 exons.
GGGGCGGCGCCUGCGCGGUGGCUGCCCCUCGGCGGGAGGGGAGGGAAGGAAGCUGCGCGGGGCGGGAGCGCCCCUGGCUUCACCUGAGGGGCCGCGGGGCGGCCCCAAGGAGCUGCCGCUGCGCCCGCCGCCCCGCCACCUGCCCGGCGAAUGCGGCGCCGGGAGGGCGACCCUCGUGCCCGGAGGCCGGAGCGAGGCAGCCCGGCCACCGCCGUCCGGGGUUUGUGUGCAGACAUCCUCAGGUGGGGCGGAGAGAGGCCCCCGCGUUCCCUUUGAGAUCGGCGUGUUAAGGAGACAACCAGCAGGACGGGGUCCCGCGGAGAAAGCGUUGCCUCCAGAGCUUGCCGCUGUUUUGUUCCCCCUGGUUUCUGCGAGGCACAGCUGUGGCUUUAUUCCAGCGUCACAUCGCGUCCAUUGGUAUCAGAGUCAAUAAGAUCAGUACUUACAUACAUUGGCUCUGGGAGGAGCGCAUCUGCCGAGGCGCCAUGCAUGACACAGUGGCAGCACGUCGUGUCUGCUGGAGCGAUCAGUGUCACCCAUGGCCAGCUACACGACCUAGGGAGUGUGCACAGAGGAUAUUUGCUGCUUCUGAAGUUCUGGAGAUCUUUUUUUAUAGAAUCAUGAAAUCAUUUGAUCUGGAAGAGCUCCCCAAAGGCCACCUAGUGCAAAUGCCCUGCAAUGAACAGGGACACCUACAGCAGAUCAGGGUGCUCAGAGCCCCCUGCAGCCUGACCUUGCAUGUCUGCGGCGAUGGCCACCCACCACCUCUCUGGGCACCCUGUUCUAGUGCUUCACUGCCCUUAUUGUAAAUAACUGCUUCCUUAUGUCCACUCUAAAUCUCCCCUCUUUUAGUUUGAAACCAUUUACCCUUGUCACAACAGACCCUACUAAAGAGUCCUGCUCUGGGUUUGUUCCCCUUUGCCUUGCUCCCAGCCUGGCUGUCACAAGCAUCCUUCUGUUGGCUGUCCGUAAGGCCUUCCGAAAUGCCUCAGCUCAUCUCUUUGUGUCAAGGCCAAAUGGUGCCAACAAAUUGCCUGCUGCUCCUGCAUCCCUCCCUGUGCUCCUGCAAUGCAUGAGGUCCAGUCCUGGAAUGCGUGGAGAGUUGUAGGGAGGAAAUAAAGCUGGUUCGUUGGUAGCCAGCUUCUGGAGUCAAACAAUUCACCACUGUUUUGUAUCAUGCUACCAGGAGAAUUAUCUUUAGCUAUGAAACAAGAGCCCUGAGCAACUGUAGGUAUGGAGGAAGCCACGACACAUUUCUCACAAGAUGAGAGGUGAUAAAAUGAAUAUUUACAUGCUGGUUUGCACUCUGCCUCUCUACAUUAUCUCUUCAUUUUCAGCUGGGCAAGCCCUGAAGUGAUCUGGUUUGCUGGUAAAUCUGUCCUGAGCUGCUUCCUCAGCACAACUGCUGCUUGCUUUCUUCCCCAUCAGAGGCACAUGAAGAAACUCCCGUUCCUUCUGUGGUCCUUGGCUAUGCCAUAGUUACAUGUGCUGCUUUUACAUCUUCACUGCAACAUCUGCUUCCCAGUGAGUACUCCGGUCUCCCAUGGAAGUCACACCAGCACUAUCCAUGCUUUGCCACUAUGCCUAUCAGCCUACAACUGGGAGAGUAUUCACCUAAACCCCUUGCUGGCACGUGGGCAGUGCCAGGAAUAUGCGGGAUCUGAAACCAUAGGUGACACCUGCUAGCCAUGACUCAAUGAAAGCGAAUGAAAGGCGUGAUGCAGUAAGCACUUGGCUCUAGCUCUUUUAAUUGGAGUUUUGUUUUUAUUCGUAUUUCUUUUCUGUCUGCUUUUCCAAAGUUUCAUAACACAGGCAGCCAAUUCUUGUGGAUGGUGAACAAACCAUUGACAAUCCCAUGGAGGGAAUUUUCCUGCAUCGGGUACAUGUGCACUGUCUGCAGAUCAGACUUCUUACUCACUUUACCUUCCGUCACUGCAGUCACAUUCAUGGAUUGCCCCUGGCCUGAUAGACUUUAACUAUCUGCAAAGGAGUGCUCUAAAUUUAAUUUGCAUGCAGUGGAUGACAGAUAUCUGUGGCUUCUGGUGCUUUGCAGGAAUUGGUAAGACCUAAAUUUUACAACAAGGCUCCCUGGACUGACACAGCAAUGCUGGAUGCUACUCUGGUAUGAUGGGGUAAUGAAUCAGUUGCUGGAAGCCUUCAACAUGCGCUGAACAUCACCCUAGAAAUGAAACAAAGGGGAAAGUUUUGCUGGUGGCAGAAAGGAUAUAAUCUCCUCGUGGAGAUUCAGACUCUUCAUCGUAUGAACCGUUUCAGAGAGGCAGAGAUGAAGGUGCGGAAAGAGGACAGGGCAAGAGGAAGAACAUUGCACGAUGAAGAACCUGGCAGAGGCCAAUCAGUCAAAAAAAAAGGAAAAACUGUGGCAAGGAAGUAUAUCUAAGGAAGCAAAGAAGGAAAAGAUGCAACUGCUCACCUGGCUGCCACAUCAUUUUCUUUGUCCCACGUGUACCAAUACCAAGAAAACAGGAACAAAAAAUUGAGGCUGAAGGACUGGACAAUCUGUGUCAGUCAUUUAAAUUAAAAAAUAAAGUUCAUUUCCAGUUUGCAAA